ACGCUAAGAGGUGGGAAAGGUACCCCACGCGCCUUUACGGUUAAAAAGAGAUGCGGGAUACGCCGCCCCGCCUUAGCGU
Molecule: non-coding RNA, 79 nt
Filed under: unclassified sequences
Description: skipping-rope RNA
Rfam family: skipping-rope RNA
About the family: Firmicutes, Fusobacteria, AlphaProteobacteria, Spirochaetes. Downstream gene
Source: Rfam by way of RNAcentral